AAGAGGAUGGCAAAGAUUAAAAAAUGAAUGACGUCAUUGCGAAUAAUUGCGAAUGCGUCGAUAUGGUUCUUUUUGGCAAAAUUUGCUACAAGACAUGCACAGUGAUGUCGAUUUGCAGGUGGACAUCGAAUGGUUCUUUUUGGCAAAAUUUGCUACAAGACAUGCACAGUGAUGUCGAUUUGCAGGUGGACAUCGAAAAAAGUAUAAUUAGCUGGUGGACACCCUAGUUUAUGAUAGUUUGCUGGAGGACACCACAUCAAUUAAAAUAAUAUUUUUGGAUUGAACAGGAGAAAGAAAUAGGGUGAAUGGUCAUUUUUAC
RNAcentral lists this long non-coding RNA (319 nucleotides) under Setaria italica (foxtail millet). Its description in RNAcentral is "long non-coding RNA (SITA_LNC005877)". Lineage: Eukaryota; Viridiplantae; Streptophyta; Magnoliopsida; Poales; Poaceae. The record is from RNAcentral.